UACAUGGGGUGCAAACGUUGCUCGGAAUUAUUGGGCGUAAAGCGCACGUAGGCGGUUCGUUAAGUCGGAUGUGAAAGCCCUCGGCUCAACUGAGGAAGUGCACCCGAAACUGGCGAGCUUGAGUACGAAAGAGGAUCGCGGAAUUCCCGGUGUAGAGGUGAAAUUCGUAGAUAUCAGGAGGAACACCGAUGGCGAAGGCAGAUCUCUGGGCCAUUACUGACGCUGAGGAGCGAAAGCAUGGGGAGCGAACAGG
RNAcentral lists this ribosomal RNA (253 nucleotides) under uncultured bacterium. Its description in RNAcentral is "partial 16S ribosomal RNA". It matches the Rfam family "Bacterial small subunit ribosomal RNA", at positions 524 to 776 of the family's 1533-position model. The record is from RNAcentral.